This 393-nucleotide long non-coding RNA is filed under the name Capsicum annuum. RNAcentral's name for it is "long non-coding RNA (CANN_LNC005523)". The record is from RNAcentral. Lineage: Eukaryota; Viridiplantae; Streptophyta; Magnoliopsida; Solanales; Solanaceae.
AAAAAAUAUAAAAUGCAAUGACAAAAAAAAAGAUAAGGAAAAGAAUAUAAAAAAAUAAGAAAAAUGACAAAAAUGAUGAACCAAGUAUGAAAAAGGGGGAAACGGAAAUACAAAAAAAAAAUAAUGCAAAGAAAUAAAAUUGAAAAAGAAAAAAAUGAUGAAAAAGAAGAAAGAAAAAAAGUGUAAGAAACGAGUAAAAAAUAAGUGAAAAAAAUGAAAAAGAUAAAAAAGUAAAUUAAAGGAAAAAAAGAAAGAAAAAAAAUAGUAAAUUAAAGAAAAAAAGAAAGAAAAAAACAAAAAAAGAAAGAAAAAAAAGAAAGAGAAAUAAAAGAUAGAAAAAAAUAAUAAUAAGAGUGAGACUAUGGAUUAUAUUUAAUUUAUAAGAGAUGUUAU